Molecule: long non-coding RNA, 32394 nt
Organism: Gallus gallus (chicken)
Lineage: Eukaryota; Metazoa; Chordata; Aves; Galliformes; Phasianidae
Exons: 2
Source: RefSeq, a predicted model, not a curated record
GAGAUGAGAAGCAGCCAGUUUCAGAGCUGGGCAACCAUCGCUCUUUUUCAAUACAUUUUAAACAAGAGGAUCUAGCGAGUGAUUCCGAUUCAAUACACAUAAUCAGUUUGGAAGUCCUAUUUCCAUUUGAAAACAGCCCUAUUUGCAAUCAUGAGGGCCGGACACGAUGGAAGAUACAGGACGCAUUCAGAGUAGGUGGUAGGUGAGAGAGUCGGCAGACGAGCACCAAAUAUUUUCUCCUCGUUGCAAAGCUUUUCCACGAUGCUUUAAUCACGCAGCAUUUUCAAAAUAACGUUCUAUUUGAAAAUGUUGCUUCAUUGCUUUAGAAAGCAAGGAUUCGAUUUACACCGAGACUCUCCCAUUGGGGAAAAGAAAAGAAAAAGGAAUAAAGAAAAACAACAAGAAAAGUAUUGAUUGGAAAAGCAUGUUGACUGUCCUGUCAAAGCCUUAGGGUUAACAGUCAUUUAAUUAAGAACGCCGGGCUAUUUUUUAUAAAACGAUAAAUUGCUUUUGAAUUAAGGCCCUGAGGAGGGACACGUGCACGGAGAACAGCUCGGGGCCAGAGAACGCGGAGCUGAGCGCACUGCCCGGGGCAGCCCUGUCCGAGGGAGCUUUGCUCUGGAGAGCCCUUCCCCUGGGGAGCCCUAUGCUGGGGAGCGCUUCCCGGGGCUCCCCUCUCCUGUCCCCGGUAGGGCCCGUAUCGCUGCCGGAGCGGAGAAAGGAUGCGCAAGAGCCGCCGCACGUAUCUCGGGGGUGGGUGAGCCGCGGGAAGAGCGGAGCCCCCGUCACCUCGCCCCCCGCAGCAGUCCUUGCUCCGAGAAGGACGGCACUCCCCGUUUCUGCUUGCUCGGAACGUCUUUCUUACUCCUCAACCUCCCGGAGCCCAGAGAAAGCCGGGAGGCCUACGCACCCUCCGUCAUAAUCAUCCUGAAGGAGAGGAGCGGGCAGAGAAGCUGACGUUGGGGGGAACCAACAGUGAAAUGAUGGUUCUCCCAGCACCUCACUUCGCACAUUAAUUGACGUUUCCGAUUCCCCUCGUUUACUUGUUGAUCUGGUUGCGCGCUGCCGACAGCGCGUGAGGUCUGCAGGCAGCUCCCCAGCCCCGAGCGCAGCCCCCCGCCCCGUUUGCUGCUCAGGAUUUGUAGCAGGCACCGCUUCGUGCGGCUGAACGCUGUGGCCCGUCCCAGCGCACUGCUUAUCCCCGUUCCCACCCAGUUUGUAAUUCUCUUCCACUUCAAACGGCCAAAUUAACUCCCGGGAAGGGAGGAGGAGGUAAAUAAAUAAAUAUUGGAAUAAAUAAAUCAAUGUCGCAGAAAGCCACAUUUGCCCUCGGAGAGGUGCGAGCUGUUAUUACUGCUUUACAGAGCAGGAGGAGGGCGACGGGCGGGUUUGUGCGGACAUCCUUGCCGCUGCCUCGGGGCUCCUCGCUGGGGCCGGACUCGUAGAGCACCUCACCCCCUCCCCCCAAUUCCCUCCGCCUCAGUCCGGCUCCCCGCGCUCCUUCUAUCGCCCCUCAAAGCUGUCCCUUCUUUGGCAAAGGAAAGAAGCGGGGAACGCAUCUCCGUCGGGUUCGCCACCGUGCUACCCCCAGGAGGGAAGGAAGGAGCCCCUGCUCCCCUCUCCGCAAAAGCUCAUUAGUUUUGAGCCCUAAUUAGAGCUCGGCUAGAUGGUGGAGGAGGCCCCCAAGGCUGCGCUUGGGGCUUUGGGAGCGGUUUCUCCUCUGCCCGAGGUGCCACAGUUACAGUCUACCGUCCCGUCCCUCCAUAAAGUGGGCACUGUUGCUCGUGGCGCCCACCUGGAAGGUGGUGAAAGAGGAAAGAAGGGACCGCUCUUAGGAAAAGUUCUGCCCCAACCCAGGCUCUGUUGGCAUUAUCCACACAAGCUGCCCCCAUCGAGAUGUACAGACAGAAUGGAGUUCGACGCGUUUUGUUUAUCCCUUAAAGCCGCGGCAGGACCACGGGAUGCACCGAGCUUUCCCUGCUUCGGUAAAACACCCCAAAAUCCGAGCAGAACCGCCGGCGAAUUCCGAUCCGAUUCUCUUUUUACACAACCACUGAAGAGCGAAUCAUUUUUUUUUUUUUGGUGUGGGAGAUCCAUCGCCAGACUGUUGUCAGGAGUCAGAUCUAUCCCACAUCGCUAACACAGCCACAAGUUAGAACAGCAGUGUCACCUUCAGGAGUGUCACCUCGGGCUCCCUGGAUAAUUUAAGACCUCUCUCCCCCCGGUUCCCACGAUGAAAAACUCUUAGUGCAUCCACAAGUGAAUCGUUUAUUUUAUUACCAGUGAUUUUCAAGGGAAAAACAGAAGGGCUACUCCAACCCAGCAGCCUUCAGGCGGGCACAUUCCCACUUAACCAAAUCGCGUGGUGCGAGUGGAGGACUGCGCCCUAAUUGACGCCCGUUACUGGGACACGGGCUGCGGACUGGGGCCGGGCACAGAGGGAGAGAGCCUUCCACGAAUCCCAGUGACCUAAAAACUAGCACGAGACUUCUCCGUGUUGAUGUCGAUCUGCAGAAGUGAUGCAUGCGUACGCAGUGAAAUGCGUCCUGGCGGAUGUGUUCGUCCGUAUUAAAAAGCAGUGACUUUUGGGUUUGUUAACUUGAACGAUUCAAAAGUAUCAUAGAGUCCCUCACUGCAUCGGCGUGAGGUUUGCCGAGUGAUAGAACGAAUUCCUUAUAUAGCGAAGGAGAGGGAGAAAAAGGAUGAUCUCAUUACAACCAAAACUUAGGAGGGGCGAGGAGAAGGCAGUGCUCGUGACACGUCUGCCUGUUUCCACGCGUCCUUUGCCACCGCGCUGUGGGACGUUUUAUUUCUCUUUAUUUCUGUAUUCGUUUCACUGGAAUAUUCAUUUUUGGUCAAACUCCGCACGGGACGGAGUUUUUGGCAGGAGACUGACCCCUGUUCUGUGGUCUCUGCGUGCUUUUGCAAGUGGGAACGGUGAAGAAAAAAAGGAAAGAAAAGAAAGGGGAAAAAAACAGUACCCGGAACAGUGCCCUUAGAAACAUUUUUCUUUAAAUUUCUGUUGUCAACAUUUAAAAGAACAAAGGGAUGGAUAAUUCUUUCGCUCAGUGAAUGCCGAAUAAAUACUGAUUCAUCUUUCGGAACAGGACGAGCAGAUUUUAUUAAAUAUUUCAUACGCAAAAAAAAAAAAUAAUAAUAAUAACAAUAAAUAUAUGCGCCUUUUAUACGUACUUGUCCUUAACCUUUAAAAGCAACCGCUGUAAAUGCCAGAUCCGUACUUUCUCUAAUAGAUUUUACCAGGAGCUGGUGACAGAGAACUGAUUUCUUUUCUAUUAGGGCUUUAGUACAUCUUUGUUGCAGGCCCGCGGAAUGACCAGGGAUUAGAUUUGCAUCUCUUAGACUCCCUGUGUGGUCUUUGUAAGAAGCUUGUAACUGUUAAAAAUGACUUGUUAGUAAGCGUGUGGGCUCUCAUCUCUUUGCUUUUGACAGAAUGAUUGUGAAAUUCAGAUUGUUCUUCUAGGCUUUAGCCCGCAGAUUCCACCUGAACCCUAAGCAAUUAGAGCCUAAUCUCAGUGCAAUCAUAUUUGAGUUAGGAUUUGUUGCACUUUGUUUACUUCAAUUAAAAAGCCGGGGAAUAUUUCGGAGCGGUUUUUAAGCGAUAUUCACGAGGCACUGAGCGAAUUUUUCAAGCCCUGAAUUUUGUCCUCACCGCCCCAUUACUCGGCUUUCCGCAGUGCAAAGCGCUCUUAGGAUUCCACGGGUAGAACUGAAGAGGAAACAGCGGGACAUUAAAAACAACCCGCAGCCAUUCGCGGGGCGGAAAUGUCCGCGGCACCGCCGGCUCUGCGCGCGGCCGCCGGGCCCGAUCCGGAGCGGCCACCGGAUAGAAGGCGGGCCGGGCUCCGCCGGCUGCGCGGUGGGUCCGCGGCUUCGCCGGUGUUUGCAGGUCCCGGUGCUGGGCUCGUUCCGAAGAAGCCGCCCUCGCCGCGGCACUGCGCUGCCUGUGGGUUUCCCGACAAGAAACAAACAAACAAAAAGCCCGAACCCUAACCACGCCACCUGCGUGCUGUGGUCCGAUACGUUAAAUUUAGGAUCAAACACGGUGAAAAAGAGGGGGGGAGGGAGAGGGGGGGGACAAAAACAAAAAACAACACCCCACCGUAUUCAGGAUUCUUUCCUCCUUCAGAUGCCAAGUUUCUGUUUGUGCCCAGGUUUCAGCUGGCCAGCCCCAGAAGGAUGGUUUUUACUACCGACAUUCACAUAAUUACAGCUUUCAAGUGCUACGCUCUCACAUCAGAAAUAUUUUCUUUAAACAGAAACGUCUUCUCCUUUUUCUCUUUUCUCUUCCAUCUUUUCCAGUCAUUAAGACAUUUCAGAAAGUCUUUUCCGAGUCUCUGUGAGUCAAGCACGAACCUUCCAAAAACUCCUUAAAUAUGGAGGGUCAUUCCGUUUAAAAUUUUAGGCCGAUUUUUUUCUCCCAUGUGAGUCAUUUGCUACCAAUAUUCUAUGUUAAGGUGGUCUGGGCUCGAUCAUGUUCCCACCGAAGUUAAGAUGCGAGCCCUCCUCCUGCUCCCAGCAGAAUAGGAUCGAGCCCUUCCACGCUAGUAGAGGUUUAAUAGCAUCAGCACAUGCCCAACAACCACCAUUAUAACCUUGACCCGGUCAGGUGCAAUGAUAUUACGCCUCCUAAAGUUAUCCUGCAUUUCCUUGGUGACAGCAAACGGCUCUUUAUCACCUCUCACUUCCCACAAUAACCCACAGGCAAUGAUACCAAUAACACACUGCUCUUUUGUCAUUCUUUCCCCUCGGAAGCCCGAGUAAGUAACAAAAUAAUAUUAAUACCGUGUGCAUUUUCUAGACUGGUCAGCCUAUGCUGCCCGGGUCACUUCAUCCCGACUGCGAGCACUGAAGCAAAAAAGUCACAUUUCUGAAAGUGAGUCAGUUGCUCUGAACGGUCUGUGUCCUGCUGCUGAGUGCGGAACUGCGCGCUGGAGUGGAACAUCAAGAGUUCCUGUGUGUAGCCUGCCUCAAACCCGGCUUUCAGGCUGCUCUGUUUGACACUUUAUGAUGAGUGUUGGACUAAUCUAACACUUUAAAAACUUUGUUUCAGGUCCAUAGGAGGCACACUAGCCAGUCUUCCUAUUUCACUUCAUUAUUUUUUGCAGUAAUAACACCUUUGGAUCAGUGUUGCGGGAUUACUUUUAAACCUCAGACAUUCGUUCCCUCCCCAAGGCUGUGGUUUAUUUACCGUUUGUCUUUUCCUUUCAGAUCAUAAUCACAGACAUAAUUUUCCCUUCCCAAACCUGAGGUUCACCAUGAUAUGUCUGCAAAAUAAAGUGCUCUUCAUUCCUUUCCUGUCACACUGCAGAAAUAUAUUUGCUAAAUAAUUGUUGCUCCAAGGAAAUAAAUCAGCAAAACUCAAAGAUACUCUCUGCAGAAUGUGGGAUGCACUGAUUUUAACAUCAAGAAAUUAUUCUUAAUUGAACGGUGUCGUGUUGGCAAGUAUGGUCUUUUUCUGCAGGCUGAAAGAAUGAGCAAUUCUUCUUGCCUUAAAAGACUGCUUUACAGAUAAAAGCAUCUCAGUCGACAACUUAAUCUUUUUUAAAUCAGGCUUGAGCAGGGUAGAUGAGUAAUGGAAUGACAAGCUUUCUAGGGUACCGCUUCGAGCAUCACAGAGUCUCUGCUGCCCCUCUUCUUUCCCUGCUUGUAGUGCUUGUGGUUGAACGUGUGCUGGAUUUUCACAGAAAAUAGAAGACAAAAGCAGCAGAACAAAUUUUACACAGCAAAGGUUUUACUUUGACCGAGGAAACUGAGAUGUACAAUGUUGAUCAUGCUGAAGGGCAAGAAAAAAUUGUGUAUGGAUGAACAAAAACCUGUGAGAAGUGAGCAUUUUAUUUCCAAGAUAAAGGUAAUGAGAAGAGCAGACCUAAGAAUGGGGAACAAACAUGAAGAAAGAACACAGAGAAUCGCUAACAUGUGCAAGGCUCUGCAAAAACAGUGUGCGAGAUGGAACAAUAAUCCUGUUCUUCAGAGGCUCCUCAUCCAGUUCUCAUUAGAAGCAGGAGGCAGCUGAUCAGCCUGCAGGCAGGUGGGCUCAGCACACAGCUUGUUUUGGCUGUUCUGGCAAUCCAUUGCCACUAAGGAAGGAUGGGUUUUCCAACGAAGUAACACGGAGAAGUUCUGUCCUGAAAUAGAGGGGGAAGCAAAGGGGUCAUGGAUGAUAAGUCUCAGAAAUGUGCUGAGGGACACCAACAGGCUGUCUUGAUGUAAGCACUAAAAUACAGCCUGAAACCAGGGGUUUUCUUAGUUGUAGGAGUCUGUCCAGAUAGGCAUGGGGUGGAAACAGUGUCAUCAAAAACAGAUCUGCGGAAAAGUUAGCUGAGUAGCUUCAAAACAUCCAGAAAUUCCCUUCUUUUGUUUAUGCUGGAGUUACUUUUUAGCUUAUCUAGUGAGGGAUGUUCACAAGUGAGGACAGAUUUGACCGCUGCAGAAAUCCUCAAUGAAGCUCUCUCUCUCAUUUAUUUAUUCUUUUUUAUUUUUUGUAUUUUAUCGACUAAAGUGAGAAAGACUUCUGUCGCUCAUUUCAAAAAGUGAACUGCAGCAACAAAAAACAGGUUCCAAUGAAAGGGAUAAGGCCCACGGGGAUAUAUUUGAAUAUUACCGCAUGGGCAAAAAUGAUGGUAGUACUGAGAGUAUGGGAAAGAAAUGGGUACGGUGUGAGCAUUCAGAAGUUCGCAGGUAUUAGAACAUUACCCAGAAAGCAGUGGGUACACUUAGAAAAAUAUUUUUAUAGAAAAGACGAGGUCAAAUCAGACCAGUAACUUGCAUAACUCAGUGUCUUGCCCUGUGGCAAUAGUAAUACAGCUUUUAAAACAAGGUGAUCAAGUGGGUAAGCGUGGACUAAUUGACUCAAAAGAGAGUUAUCUGGGGGCAUUUCUGGAAGAUUUCUGAACUUCAUUAUUUCUUGAACUUUUCCAGGGGUGUCUCCUAGCAAUAAAUUACAGCAUUAAAUAUGACACGAUCCACAUUUGGUGGUUUAAGAUCCCUCUUCUCCCAAGCUCUUACACAGGCAGACUCUGUAGCUCGACAUUCUUCGUAGUGUUCAUUAAACUUGUUUACGUUGUGACUUCUUGUUGUACUUUGGACCCUGGAACCGCUCCCACCACAUACUUGCCAAGUAGUUUCUAAUCCAGCAUUUUUGUAGAAGCUGCAGAGACCAGAAGGACCAGGAGAAGCUGCUCUUCUUCCCCUUGCAGUGUUGUAAGAUGCUCAGUAAGUAAUGCUGUAAGAUCUAAAGAUCCGUUUUAUUUCUAACUUCUUCAUUGCUGUUAUUAUCUCAGUUUAGAGCAUGAGCUAUACAUCUCUAUUUUGACCAGGACUGAACAAAUAUUAUCAUCAACAGUUAAUAUAUACCUUGAAGCAAAAGAACCACAAGUUUUAAGGAGUCUUGUCAUAACGUGAAGAAUAACUGUAGCUUGCAUAGUUCACAGAGCAACUGGAAACAAAAAUCUGUGCCACAAUCCAAACUCUUUUCUCUCUCUUCAUUAUACUCUUAGGAAUGCAUUGUGUUUUCUUUUUCUUUUUCUUUUUCUUUUUAAUUCAUAGCAAAUACAAUCAGUACCUCCAUUCUGUUCCCUCUUAUACACUCCUUUUCUAUGCCAAAACAGGAGUGAUAUUGAAGUUAUAUUUAUUUAAGGAAUAUUAAAGUCUUUUCCAGUAUACAAAAUCAAUGAAGUCUGUUUUUCCAGGGCUGGAGCAAAGGGGUUGAGAUGACAUAAUCAGUCUACACGUAACUAAGAAAAGAUUUCCUAUACAAGAUGUGCUUUUAAUUUGACAGGGAAAAGGAGGCACAAUUGCGCUCUAUAGCUGAGAGGUUAGGCUAGGCAACGCUCAGCUGAAAUAAGGUGAAAAUCCUUAACAGGGAAGGCAUAAGGGUGGUAUGAUAGGACCUUCUCUACUCUAACUCAAAGGUAUAUGUCCUUCUGGAGCUAAAGUGUGAUGCAGAAAUUGCUGUGGUGUGCAGGCAGUAACAUCCUGGCCCUUUUUGGUCUCAUUUUCUGUGGCUCUGAAGAACCCUUGAACCAGGUCUUUUUGUACUUGCAAGGACAUGUUAUGUUUUUAAAAAAGGCAUUACUGUGCAUCAAGAAUAUUGACCACAACAUUGCAAACUUACCAUCAUUAACCUGACAUCUGAAUUUAUGUUACAUCCAACUUGAACUCUGUAAAGCAUUUACCCUCAGAAGACUCUGAAGCACUGAGUAGGAACAAAAGUUAAAUUUAAGUUUAAAUUAAGAAGAAAAAUACUACUAUCCCUAUGUUAAUGUUCUACAUAUUUAGCAGCACUGCUUCUCUAUACUUAUUCUGUCUUCCAUCUCACAUGUAGGGAGAACUAGACAGAAAAUCAAUUCCCCAGCCACCUGCCGUCUCACCAAGAGGCACUACUUUUUCACCUCAGACUGUUCUACCGACAAGUCCAUCAUUACUAACCAUCAUUGCUUCACAGCACAUGAAAUUCUGGGGUCUUUCCAAUCUCAGGAACCAGACAUGGAUCUCUAAGCCAAACAACCCAAACCUGUCAUCUCAAGGACACAGGAAAAUACAGUAACGCUAAUUACCAAUGAAAAGUUCACAUUAGACACCGUAGCUACCUACUUUACUUCUCUGUAUGUAUCUUCUGCAUGGUUUUCAGUCAAACCUUUUCAGUAGGCACUGCAAGGUGAAAGGGAGGGAGAGGGCACAGAAGCUGGAAGUUCAUGCUAGUGUACCAGCAGUUAACCGGGGCUGAGAAAUCUACUGUGAUAGGCUGCUUCAGUAACUCAUAACAAUGCUGAUAGAAGGGGUUCUUCAAUCUCAGCACAGGGAAAGGAGAAAUCCCAAGUAAUCUAGAAACACAGUUUUUAUUUUAAUCUUUUAAGCUAAUAAUUAGGCUUAAUCUUCUUAUUUGUUCAAUUCUAGCUUCACAUCCAAAACAAGAUUAUUGAAAUAAGAUUUGAAGACCGAUUUUGUGCCUCCUUAUUUCACAGAACUACUUCCACUAAAGGGAGAUCUAGAGAAGAACCACAUGCUACUUACGGAAAAGUUAUGACCUGCUUUCAAGGCAGAACAUUACUAAACCAUGUUAGUUAAAAUACAUAGUUUGGAGACUUGGGAUGUUAGUUAGAGUAACAUAUAGAAUCUACGAAAGUUCCCCAGGUGAUAAAUUAAGACUGUACAGAAGUCACAGGCACAUUUUUCAGACGCAUCUAGUCCUCAGAGUCAACCAAGAAUGAAUGUAUUAAGGAAGACCUAGUCAAUGCCUUCAGAAAACAUAGAGCUGAACACACCUGCUCUUGUUACUGCUAAGAUCAUUACAGUUGAAAAUAAAAAAGUGCAGGUAGUAGUAAUGGGAACUCAGCUCAGAGAAAGGGAAGGUAGAAAACAUAGAAGAGGCAUGAGGAUAUGAAUAUAAUUGUUGUCCUGAAAAGAAGGAUUCUUUUUUUCUCAUUAUUUAACACCAUACAAAUAGACCUACUUUAAAUAGUUGUUUGUAUAUUUACUUAUGCUAAUCCCCAUGGAAGCACCCUAUAGGGUGGUGUUUUAGUGUGUCUUCACCUGCAGACAAAAAAAUAAUAUUCUGAAAGCCAACUGUGUUCAUCACUGGGAUGGACCUCUGCUUUCCCCUCAGUGUAGAUCGCUACUGUCACAUACAGGGCCUGUUAUUUUCCUGUAUUCUGGUAUGAAAAUGGUGAUGCUAUGAAGAAGAGCUUAACCAUCUCACAACAGUGCCUAAAUCCCAGCCUCAACCAGAGAAAAUAAGGGACAAAAAGACUUUUAACUUAGCAAGAAGGUGGAGUUAGAGAGCAAUGCCAUGACAGGCUCAGUGCUCCUCUGGGUGUCUUUGGCACAGUAGGGAGCUGGGCAGCAGUCUGCCAAGCCGUGCAACUAACAUCUCCGUCACAAGUCUCUCCUUCCUCUCUCUGCUCUCAAAUCCCCAGAAGCAGCAGGAGCAACACAACAGAAACAAAAGAUGUAGUAUGCUCUCACUGACCCUGAGCCUGAAGAGGCCUCUCAGCUCCAAUUCCACUUUAUAGAAGUGUGAUUUCAUGGGGGCCCAAGAAUAUGUCAUGGUUGCCUGACAGGCAUAACAGAGGGUGGAGAGAACAGCUGGGGAAGCAGGUAGGUGCUACCUGCUGCUAACGAAAUCAUACACAGGAUUUCAGCUGUGAUUGAUUUCUCCCACAGUCCAACAGCUGAUAGCCUUUUCAGCCUGGCCCUGCUAGAAGUAAGUUUUUUGUGUGCUUCAUCCUUCCUUGCCCAUUCCUCCUUCCCCACAACCCUGCUAGACACCAGGAGAACCUCGUGCCCUGGAGUGCAGUGAGAGCUGAGCCCAACCUGGUGACAAGAUUUGACCUCAACAGAUGCAAAGCGGGCUGUAGCUCCUACUGCAGAUUGUGAUUUGUUCCUAUGUGAUGCAGAGCUGAACCAGUCUUGGUUCAGAUUCCUUGUUUCUAUACCCUAUGGUUUUGUAUAGCUGCCUUGUUCUGAUUCUUCUUCCUAGAGUCAGUGUGGCUAGGAAUGAAGAAGUAAUAAAAAUAAAAAAAGCACUUUGGGAACCAGGAGAAAGGAUUGGGAAGCAGUGUGAAGAGGUGAUAGGUACAUUUGCAGCUUGUCAGAUAAGAAAUUAAACACUGUGUAAUUUUGUGUGUGUGUGUGUGUGCGUAGCCAGUGGAAUAAACGAGAUGUUUUUUUAAUCAAAUUGUUUAAUAGUGGUGAUUUGUUUCAGUAUUAACUAAAAUUCACUGCACUAAACUUUCUCCAGAUGUUAAGAUUCCAGUAACAUCAACUAAAGGCAAAUCAUGGAUUCUGAUGUAUUCCCACAUCUUCAAUAAUAAAACAAUCUGAUUUGCACAACAGCGAUAUGCCUGCUUCUGCAGAGCUGAAACAACAUUUUAGUAUUCCAGCUUCUUACCCCCAAAUGUAUCUCUCUAGAUACGCGGUGGUAAAUGUAGGAUGUACAGGAUAACAGCAUUUAUUUCUGAUUCAAGGUUAGCUGGUACAAGAGAGAAGAAGGGGAAAUCAAUCACUGAGUUUCUUUCAGGAUUUUCUAUGCUUAGGUUUAUUUUCUUUGUAUACAUACCUCUACAAACGUAGUGGUGAUUUGAAAAUGUAAUCACAAAGUGGCAUGUUUCACAUGUUCACUGUACUUACAGAAGGCAAAAUUGUACGAGUGAUUUAUCAAAUUCUACUUUAUUAUGAAACAUAAAAAACAACAUGGCACAGGAAAUAUUUCUGGUGUAUCUACAAAAACACAUUUUAAGGCAAAAAGAGCUGAAAUUGUGCAGAUACUGAAUUAAUCUGUUUUUAAGCAAAAAUCUAUAAAACAGCAAAAUAAAAGGCAUUGUGCUGUGUGUUGCUGCUUAAAACUGGGAACAACAGUGGAGCGCGGCAGUUAAUUAGCUUCAGUCAACAUGAGAUGCUUUACAACAUUUCUCACAUCGCUGCUUCAUCUGGGCUUUGGAAUAAACAUUUCCCACACUCUGCAUGAAGAAAAUAACCGGAAAAUAUAUAGCUUAGCCAUUCAAAAUAUGCAGGUAUUUCAGACAAUCUUUCCUGCACUGGAGAAGAGAUUUUAAAUACCUUCCAUAAAAAGAGAGACUAAAACCACUGAACAGAGGAGUUUGUAAUCCUAUUUGCUUAGCAUUUGGGGGGUUAAUAUCUAUUCUUAAUCACCAAACCUUACAUAUUGCUUUUAAAAGAUCUUUCACCCUUUUUGUGUUUUUUGUAAUUUUUGUGUACUUUGGUUAUCUGUUGCACAAAAGAACUAUCUGCUCUGUAAAGGCAUCAUAUAAAAAUCUCCAUUUAAUGCAUUAUAAAUAAUGAAGUGCUACAUUAUAAUAAUUAUUUCCAUAUUAACUAAACGCACAGCUAAGUUACUUGCAUUAAACAUCUACACUUUGCUUAAUGCCUUUAAAUAGCAUCUGAUUCUCUCUUAUUGCAAGUAUUCAACUGAUGUUCUGGCCCAGAGGAGGCUGCGGAGUUUACUUCUUAGAGAUCUGUGUAAGGCGAGCAGCUUCAAAAGGGAAAGCCCUGUACUUAAAGCAUUUUAUUUAUUCCACUUACGUUUGAUUGUGCAAGGUGUGUAAAUAAAGGGUUCAGACUCUGCACUUCAUGCAGUUCAGCUAGGCACGUAACAAUUAUUAUUUUAGUAAGGGGUAAGGAGUGCGCUGGCCAGCUUCCAUUUUACCUAACAGCUGAGACGAAGUGCCUGAACUGCUUCCUUCCCAAAGGAGUGGCUGUAAAUUCACUUCUGUGGAGAACAGGACAACUUGAUAAUGGAUUAUUAUUAGUCACUACAUUGGAAAGUAGGAUUUGCUUUAAAAUGCAACAUUUUAAAUUUGGGGAUUUACCAGUCACUGUUUACAUAUUUCUAAAUAUAUAGUAUUUUUGAGGUCAGAGGCUGAUGAGCUUCCAGGCUAGGAUAAUUGUCUUUAAACCAGGAUGUUUACCAGAGAAUGCUGAAGAGAAGAAGAUCUUUUGUUUAAAAUGCCACACCGAGUAGAACAGCUUUCUUGUGAACUUUCUGAAUCUUGACAGCAUGUUUUCCUCAGGCGUUAGUUAUUAUUAUUUUUUUGCGGUGUGUCACUCUUCACAUUUUAACAACAAAUAAGUAGUGCUAAGACAUUUUCUGCCCUUCAGUUGUAAAUGUACCAGACCCAACUGAACAGGGGCCACCGUUAUUGCAAAAAUAAAAGGGGUUUGCGGAUGGGAUUAAUUAGGAGGAGGGAAUGUAAGGGCUCCCGCUUUAAGAGGCAAGUACCCUGUGUCAUUAGUUUGCUUGCUUUUGGGAAAAAUAAAACCCACCCAAACUUAUAACAAAAGUUGAAUGCUGAAUUAAAUGCAUUUUAAAGAAUGUGAUUUAGCUUCUCUGAAGCUUCAUUUUUAUGCAAUGAUGUACAACUAGAAUAGAGCAUAUGACUUCAAAUUAUUUAAUUCUCCUUUUAUAGGAGAUAUUCAAAAUGAACAACAGAAUUGUGGCAUUCGCAUUCAUAUUUCAAUCAAACAUUUGUGAACUUGACACUGCUCGCUCAUGAAGUUGCCAGGGUUCUUUAUGCUGAGGGCAAUUCUAUCAACAGUGGAUAAUAAUGAAUAUUUUUAUUGUUGGCACUUUUAUUGAUUUUAGUAAAUAACACAUCAGCGCUACAACGCCAACUUAGAAUAUAAAAGUAGUCACGGGGUUGUCUCUGGAGUCAUUGUUUCUUAUGGCAAAUAAAUCUCAGUGAAAGGUCAAAUGGUUUAGGUACAAUAUUUUAGUACUUUGGAGAGACAAAGUUGUAAAGAGACUGAUAAGAGCUUUAGAAAGCUCAGAUUAGACUUUAGUUCAGGAGGAUAUACCAUAAGAGUAAAUUUGUUAAACAGAAACUUCAAUCACAUCAUUUUUUAUCAUUUUCAACAAGCAAAAUUGUCUUCUGCUAAUGAGGGGAUAAUUUGGUGCAAUGUGUACAACUGAAAAUAAAAACUUUUGAAGAAAAGAAAAUCACAAGCACAGAGCAGUCGAUCAGAUGCUUCCAUCUAGAAAAUACUGGGACUUAAUUCUGGUCUUCUUCAUGCUCCUUGGCUGAGUAUCAAGAUUCUUAUUUGGACAAAACUCUUGCAGCUGUCUUUCUCUAGAUUUUUGCCUAGCAGAAGUGACAACGGUUUGCCAUUUUGUACACCAGUCUGGUUUUCUGCUCUCUCAUACAAAUUUUAAGCCACUGGCUUCAGCUGAAUUAUUUUUGGUACACAUUAUUGAAUGUGAAAGAGCUGAUCCCUAGGAUUACACAUUUUAUUUUAUGAAUGUAAAUGUAACUCUAAGUCUUUUUGAAAAAUUACAGCUUGCGAGGCUUAGGAAAUUUAUUGAUAGGCUGGGGACAUCUUCCUGCCCUAAUCUUCAGACAAAAGUCUGUUACUUAUUGUGAUGGAAUCAAUAAAAACAACAAAAGUGGGAAAGGAAGCAGAAGAAAGAAAGUGCAGAACUGUAGGAAAGUCUUUUUCCACUAAGGUCUAUGCAUGCAGCCACCAGGGCACAGAAGACAGCAGAAUAGCAAUAAAAUAUGCUACAUGGAGCACCACUAGUCAGAAUGAAAAGAACAAGGCAGGAAAUCCUACUUCAACUUUCAUAAUGGCAGAGACAAAACUUCCAUUUUAAUUUUUUCUUUUUAACUGUGCUGCAUACAGAACAAAUGUGAAAAAUAGUAAUUUUAGUGCUACAAGGAAACAAAUAAUACAUGAGUUAUAUAUGAGUUAAAUGUUACAUAACAUUCUACUUAAAAAAUCCAUCUUACAAGGCCUGAUCCUGAAGCCUAUUUUGGGCAAGAUUCCCUUAAAUGUGAUUUUGAGCUGUAAGAUCAGCUGUGCUUGCAGUUAAAGAUAUAUGUAUAUGUUUCAUUUUUAUUAUCUACUUAAAUGCAAAAUCUCUUCUUCCACAACCAACUAUUUCUUUUUCUCAGAGAAACAUCUCUUUUAGUAUCAUAUUUUUCAACUCUGAGUGUACUAAAAAGAUUUCAUACGAAACUUUAUAAACAGUUGCCUAAAAAUAUAGGGAAACAAGGACAGAGUGCUUAUCAAAUGCAAAUCUCAUCCGUCUUGUAAUUAUUAACAUACGGAAAGAUGUUCAAAAUCCCCUUUAUUUAUAUUGUUCUCUGGUAACACCUGCAGUUACUAGGAGAGCAGAAUUUUGAUGGGCUCAGCUGGACCUUUAAAAAGGGCACAGAAGAAGAGAAGUCUAGAGCUUCUCAUGGGGAUAUACUAUUUCUUUUUUUUUUUUUUUUUCCAAAGCAAAACCAUAAAAAGUUGAUGUGAAAUAUCCAGAUCUCAUGGAUUCAAAUGAAGUCAAAGAACUUCCUUCACACCAUGAAGAUCUGCAUAUAUGCGGCAGCUGGCUGGGGAGGGGAUGAGCAGUUUCUUUUUCUCCCAGAGAUGACUGAAUGAAAAGCCCUCUGAAGGACCUUUUCUGUGAUCUCUGGUGGCUGUGUAUCCACCUUGGGCUUUCUCCUUACGUGUGCAUCUACUGAGACGUGCUGCUGCUGAAUUCAGCGAAAUUGAGCCCUAACUAUGAUUGGGAUAUGAGGACACAUAAUUAGCUGUGUUAGAAAACUGACCCUCUUUCUUUCAUUAAGGUGGAAUUUUACCCUAUAAAAUAUGAAUGAGUAAAGACAUUUUAAUCAGGAAAAUAAAAUAACCAAAUCAUUCUCCACUGUUGUUAUUUUUACACUGCAAUGAGACAAUGGUAGGGCAACUCACUUUAGGUGAUAUCACUUAAUUAGGAAAAGCAUCCUAAUCAGAUCCACCUCCAAUUGCAAUAACUGUAGGGAGUCAAGUACAUUUCUCUAUCAAAGCAGCAAGCUUUGUAAAGUAAAGUAUAGAUUUUGGUAUUUUAAAUUGGGAUACAAAAACAGUAACUGAGAAAGAAUAACAAAGAAUGGGAAAAAAAAUGCAUUCUCCGCAUCCCAAAUUUCAGAAUUGCUUCUGAAAUAUAUAAGCAAUAUUUCACAUGGUAUUUCUGCAACUCCACUUAGUAAAAAAAAAUGUCAGGAUCAGUGCUUCCAUAGUCAGAACUAAAGAGGGCCAAGGCACACACACUAUUCCCAUUGGUAACUCAAUAUUGGUAACCAAGACCACCUUGCGUUUUCCUGGUAUUCUGCCCAUGGGUAUUAUACAUGGCUCAGAGAAAGGGAAACCUAGAGCAGGAUGUGGACACAGUGAGGAUCUCUUGCUGGAAGGACCAAGUCCUCAUGUGGUUAACAGCUGUGCUGCCUAGGACUUUUAGAAGCACGGUAUCCCCAUAUCCUCUGAUUCCGUGUAGCUCUUUUUUUCAGUGACUGUGGAUUAGUGGUAUUGUUAAGCCCCCUAUGUCUACAAAUAUCCUUACAAUUUCUCUCUCUACAUUUAUCUUCAAUAAGAUGAAUGCCUAUUAAUGACACCAUUCCACUCUGUUCAUCUAUUUGCCUAGGAAAAAUCAUUUUGGCUUACAGCAUCUGAUGUUCUGCCUUCUGCACAGGACAAAUGCAAAGCCCAGGAACUUCAGAAAUCCCCUUCAAUUUCAGUAAAUCUUAAGGCUUAUUUCAGUGAGAUGGGUUUUCAGUGAGGCACCUCCUCUUUAACUACAAGUAGCCACUCAUAAUAAAAGCUAUACGGAAUAGGAAGGGAAAUAAAUACUAAAGUACUACCAAUUACAUGCAAUUAUUUGCAUUGCCAAUAACCAAGCUCUGCAAAGUUACAAAACAGGUUUUAAAAUAACAAUUUUUAAUGUAUGUGUAGGAUCCUGUUUAUGCAUUUGCUAAAUUUGAAUGGUUUUCUUUCUUCCAGUUUUUCUACACAAACAGUAGUUAGGAACUCCAGGAUCACUUAAAAUAAAUAAAUAAAUAAACCUGUGCUUAUAUAUUGGCUAUAUUGUGUGUGGCAGAUUUUCAAGACGUUUUCAGCGAGGUUCUUCACCAUAGACUCCUAAAAGAAGCAAACUUGGCAUAGGAGGGAGUUUCUCGACUUCAAGUAUAAGAAGGAACAAAUGUUAAAAUCUUACUACGCUGAUGAAAAACAUGGAAGUUACCUGUGAAUUCUUUUUAUCUGUCCAGAAUACUCAAAAAUGAUGAGAGAGGGGUGGUGAGAGUAUGUGUGUGUGUGCUGUGAGUGAAGAAAGACUGCUGUUGAUAUUAAAAUCCUCAAGCUGAUCAUGGAGAGUUGUAGAAAUAUCUCAAGACAUUUAGUUAGUGGCCACCAAGAUUGAAUAUUUAUUUAUAUUAGAUCAAUGUAGGACAUGGUAUGUUAGGAAUUAUUGCAGGAAAUAGAGAAGAAAACAUGAAGCAUCUCCAUGUCAAUGAAUUUUUCUAUAGUGAAGACACAUAUUAGAUAAUAUCAUUAUAGUGAACCUACCACAGAGUAAGACUAACUACAAUAGGUUCAGAAAGUCAGAACCAUCAGAAGAAUAACAUAGAUUCUUACCAAGCCUUAGUUUAACAUAUUAAAACUCUUCUGCUUGGAAACCAAAGAAUUACAUGGAGAACGUAAAUAAGAAAGAAGUAUUGGGUACCCAGUAAAAUGACAAAGUAGCAAGUUUAAAAGCAACAAGCAGAAACAUUGCACAGUCUUACUGCUGCAGGAUUUUGUUGGACCUGGAGUACAAAUUAAUGGGAAAAAAUCUUGCAUGUGGCUUUUAACCACAACAUGACUCCAGUGCAACCCUGCUCAGGAAGCCAUUAAGCAACUGAUUGCUGUACUUUCCCUAAUUGUUAGAUAUUUUCCUUGAUAGUUGCUUAUUGAUCAGGAACUGCAUCCUGGAUUAGCUAGAUUCCUACAUGAUCCAACACAGUCAUUCAUUCUCUGGUUAUGUUCAUAUGAGAAGAAUUUUCUGGGGGGAAAAAAAGCAGUUGUACAUUCUCAUUGGUUUUAUUAAACCACUAUGCCACUGCUUUAUCUGAAAGGCUGUAGAAUCAGCUAUUUUUCACCGUGUCUCUACCAAGUCUCUACCUGAUGAGGAACAAUCAGAUGUAAUUUUGAAGCAAUGGAAUGGCCAUGUCCUGUAUGAAAGCAUUUGUGUCCAAUCUUAUUGAAGGAACUGGGAAGAGAACAGGAACUAACAGGAUGACAUUUGAAACACACAGUUUGAAGACCUAUGAGGUGAAGAAACACCUGCAAGGUUUGUUAUUGCUGUCUAUUGCUGCAUUAUCCAUGGGUAGUAACUGAUUUUGACAUUUUCCCAAGUUCUGUGUUAUUUUAACUGCUGGACAUGCCUGGGAAGUGACACACUGGAGCCUGGAAAUUGGAGCUCAGAGUGCUUGCUGUGAUGAGUGGCCAGGUAGGUUGGAGCUGCUCUCGCAGUCUUAUGGCAUGUGGCCAGCGGGAAACCAUUCUUGUAAGAGGAUUAAAGGCCAAAAGCAAAUGCCUAGGAUACGUGUCUGAGAUGUCAAGGAAAGAAGCAGCACUGCAGCUUACUCAGACUGGGAGAAGCUGAAGAGCAAACUGAUCCAAAAAGCGCUAUCAUGGGGUGCCUCACAGGAGGGGCGUUAGCAGGGCUGAGUGACCAAGUCAGUGAAAUAAAGAUUUGCACAGGGAAGAGCAGAAAGCUUUGAGAGCUGGAAUUCGUCCACUUGUUUGUGUACAGCCUGACAGGCUGCAAAGCUUCCCGGCCUACAAACCAAGGAGAAAAUGCCAGCCUCCUCAGGAUGCACCUGGCCUGGGUGGCCACCAUGUCUGGGAGGCUGCUGCUAUGGUCACUUUGCUCAUUCCCCUUUUUGAAGCUGAUAUUCUAAAAUAUCUUUGAGGCACCAUUUCUGCACAGAACUUCAUUUCCACAUGUUCAUGGACUCCUAAGUUUGGUCAUCUGUAUAUUCUAGCACAUCCCAAACAUGCAGUGCUAUUGUUGUAGUAGUAGUGGUCUAAGAGUGUGAGAGAUUGUAGAGAUGGGAAAAGAAGAAAUGUCCUAAGCAUAACAUCAUAAAUUGUAUUCUAAAUAGUGGUUCUAAUCAAAGAUAAUACCUCUUUCUACAGUUCUCACCUCAUAUCACAGAGCUGUACACGGCUACACUGUGGAAAACCUAUCUUAAACAGAGUAUGAAAACAGUCAUCACACACUGCCUCCUGCCAUCAUCACCUGAUACCAAUUGCCCAGGGCAAGGACAUCCAGCCCGCCACUGCCGUAUGUUUGGUUCUCUGCGUUUGUUUGUAGCUAUUCAGAAGAUUGCGCUGACAGCUAAGGUGGGCAGGACUGUGCCCAGGUGCUGGAAGUUUUGCCCUCAGAUGCCACCCAUCCUUCCAAAGCUGAACCAUGGGACACUCAUGGGGAAGUAUCGAGUUGCCUGACCUGAAGUGAGCUGUCACCAAUUUAAGCAUAGCAAAAAGCAUGACUCACUGCUACAUGCAGUUCCAAAAAGCCCUUAGUGGAGAAAAACAUGUGACUUUUCACUUGCUAAAGCAGGGCCACUCUAGAGUUUACAGCUGCUGUCAGCCCUCAAAGCUCUUCCUCUUCACAAACAACAGUGCUUUAUGCAUGAAGACUGUCUCAAGAGCAAGACAGAGGAGCCCUGAUGGAACCAUAUUCCAUUGAAAUGUGUGAUUUUAUCAGUUCACUUCAGAUGAAGAAUUCUGCUUUGUGAUUUACAGGACUUCUGUUGAGCACAUGAAGCACAUGUAACUGGAACUGGGAUUGCAUGGGGAUACCGUACCGUCUGAACGCUCACCAAAAAGCUUCCUGCCCCCUCUGUCCCCUCCUUCUACAUCAUUUAGCUUUACUUUCCUAAUCUUGCUUGUCUUUCUUCCUCUUGCCAUGAUCCUAGCAGGUUUGUGUUUCCAGGACAGCACUGAAGAUGUGCCAGCAGCACAAGGGAAAAAAGAAAUAGAUACAUGGAUUGAGAAAAGCAGACUGAAGAGUCAUCAGAUGCAUUGUCACCACGCUGUUCUUUAUAUGAAAACUUUGUGGUUCUUUUAGAAGUGAUAUAUUUUCACAGUCUGAGGUACACAUCCACCCCGGUUGCAGUCCCCAUCUCAAGAAACAGUAGGAGGAUUUUUUCUUUUCCAGUUGUGUUGACAUUGUACUUUGCCCUUUCAGCACUGGCUGUUAUGGAAAAUCAGGAUCAGGUAAUUGCAAGCAGGGCCUGAAGUGUAGGCAGGAGGCAAUCCUCACACACUGAAUGCUCACCAGUGCAGAACACGAGUUAAUCCUGUUUCACUUGAGUUUUCUUUCUACAAUAUUUAUAAGGUUUAUUGUACACAGAGAUACACACAUGUCAGUAUAAGAUAUCUAAGGUAAACCUUAGAUAUCCUUCAGCUACAGUAAUAAUGUGCCUUCAGUACCCUCUUGCAGGUGCUCCCACCGCUUCCAUAGGAGGAGAGGUAGCAGGGGGCAUGAUGAACAUGCACUCAUGUGACACUCACAUCCUCUUGGGUGACAAUCAAGUGUAUUUGGGGAGCUUGCUGCAGACUGCCCCUAGUCCUCACCAGCAGUCUGUCCUGGCCCUGCACUGCAUCACAAAGCCCUGUGACGGGCCAGCUUUGGCUGCAGAGAGCUUCUCCAUCAGACACGUGGUGAGGGAAGGCAGGUAGAGUCCCUGCCCUGGGAAGGUCAUGGGAUGUUUGGGCUUGUUUUGCUUCAUCAGCUCCAAGCAGUCAUCUCUAUGUGUGGUUUUGGAGACCCUGGGGUUUUCUCCCUGUAAAUACACAUAUAUAUAUAUGAUAUAACAAUAAUAAUAAAUGGUGUUAUCGCUUCAGGUAGGCGGUGGUGGGAGGCGGGAUGCCCCCUGCCCAGAGGUGCCUGGGCAGGCUGCAGCAGCUGUCGGGAGCGGGCACGCCUCGGCUUUCCCGAGGCACUCGAAAGAUACUUUAAAGCCACUGAAGAGACACUUCGCGAGGCUGAUCCACUAAUGUCGUUUUAUUAGCAGCUUGACGCGAGAAAUCCAAAAUUUUCGGGGCGAUAAGUUUAUGUUUGUUUGUUUUCCCCGCACAAUGAGCCGCAGGCAAUUGCCUCUCUCUGGAUUGCCAAGGAGGGGAGUGGGAGCUGAGAGCACGGGGACGCGCGCUGAGCCGGGAGCUCUAAUGGAGGGUUCUAUUUGUUUCCAUGAUUACAGCUAUAAAUAAUAAUAGUUUAAAAAAAAAUCCCAACAACUUCGGGUGGUUUCAUUCUCUGCGUCCCGGGGGUGUCCCGGCGGCGUGCUGUUUUCGGCAGCGCUCCCGCAGGCUCCGUGUGCGCUGCAGGGGCCUCGAGGCUUUCCCCUCUCCACGGUGGUUUGUGGCGAAAAGCCCGCCGCGACCUCCAGCGCGGAACUGCGGUGCCGCCGCCCGGGGCCGCGGAGCUGCCGCUCCGCUCCGCGCCUCUGCCUCGUCGCCUCCCGUCGUCCCGCUCCGCGCUGGAGCCCUUUUGAAGCCGUGCCCUACUUUGUAUUGGCUGCUGAACAAGCCUGAAAAUUGAUAUUACAGCUUUUUAUGAUAUAAUAUCCCUCUAAUUGGUGCUUCAUAGGGCCGUGCCUGAAUUCUUUUCAAUUAAGCCCUAAACUACAGUGACUGUUUCUCUCGGUACAUGCUGGAAAAGCCAUUCACGAGAGAGGCGACUGGUACUGCACAAUUCCAAAGUACCUUUAAUGUGUCAAAAAUGUUUUGUGAAGAAAGCAACACUGUAAAUGCAAUCACCUACAUUGGUGUCCCCAUUGUUAAGCGGGAGCCAAAGUAUUGCUAAUUGUCCUGCGUUUUAGCUGGGUUUUUAGAGCAUUAUGUAGUAAGUACACCGAAGGGUCAAUUUGUGAAGUGAAAUACUUAGCAUGCAAAGCGUAAUACAAGAUGCUGUGUAAUACUUGACCUCUCAGCAUAAUAAAUGUAGCAGUGAAACGCUGUGCAUUCAGGAUUCGCUGAAUAGAGCCUCCGCAGAGGAACAAAACCAGAAAAUGUUCUCUUCAUUCCUUUUUUUUUUUUUUUUUUUUUUUUUUUCACUAAGCGAAAAUUAUUCUUUAUAAUGGCCAUUGCAGCAAUUAGCCAGCAUUUGGGGAGAAUAAAUGUGCAGAAAUAGCAAUUUCUUAUUUUAAAUGAGAUUUUUGUAUGGAGGCUGCAAAUUACUUGGAGGUAUAUGACUAAUUGUUGCCUUAGUUUUAUGCUACAGAAUAGGGUGUGGGUGGGUAUAAAGAUUUCCUAUUUGCAGUUAAAUGUUUAGACAUUUUAUUAUUUUAAUUUCACUCUCAGUCUGUCUCGAUUGACCCUGCUUUCCCCACUGAUCAUUGCAUAUAUGCCAGGAAACAAGUACUCAGAUGAUGGAAGCUUUCCAAUUAGAGCUUUAUGGUUUUAUGGUUUGGGUGUGUGCGCACUGGGAGGGGGGAAGGGGGGGGGGGGGGUCUCUACCUUCUUAUUUAUUUAUUUAUUUAACCUCUCUCUCUCUUUUUUUUUUUUUAAUGAAUGUGACAUGUAAGUGCAAUCAGUUUAUACUCUGGAUGCUACUGUGGUGUUUUGAAUUUAGCUUGCUAAGUCAAAACAUUUUAAGAAUAUGACAUAUUUGACAGGCAUUACUCAUUAUCCUCUAGAAUGGCAAACCCUAUUAGUGCUUUAUUUACACAUUUUAAAGGUUUUGUGCUCAUAAUAAUAAAAAAGAAAGAAAGAAAAAAAGUAAGAGAGAGAUGUAAAAUUCUUUCUCUUGGGCCUUCAAGAUUCCUGAACUGAGUUUUUAAGUGGAUGGAGAUUGUUGUGCUUCACUUCACUAGCUGAAGUGGGAGAAGUUUUGUGAAUCUGGAAUUAAAAUAAUUUCAGAGGAAGCACGGUUCUAACAGCUAGAACUUACUAGGAAUUGUUUGUUUCACAAAAAAAAAAAUACACUUUCUUGCAAAUUUCACUAGGUCAGUGCACAGUAAUGGAAUUUUAUAUUCUGAAUAAAGAAUCAUCCUGUGUGAUCAUCCUAACAUUUGACUAAGAAAAAGGCUUGGAUAACUAAUUUUGAGGUUCGUAAUUUCCUCUCACUUAAUCUAAAACUUUCCUCAACUGCACAAAUUAGUUCCCUUCACUCUUGUUCCUACUGGGAUACCUACACUCCCUUCUUUAUAUUGCAUACAACCUAGAUUGCCCCUGAAGUGUGAUUUCUCAGGUAAGGACAGAAUCUCAAGACAAGCACUGUUUGUUCUCUCACCUGACACAUAAAACUGAAUGGCUUUGGAAAAAAAAGGAUUCUUUCCCAAACUUUCUCUUGUUCUUAUGAUGAUUUCAAACAUUUUUUUACGACUUUUGCAAUUUAAUAGUCUUCGGGGCUUUUGAUCUGUUAGUAAAUAUAGUUCCUUUUUAAUAUACACAAUAGGAAGUUAAAAUUAUCCACGUAAUAUUGAAGUCCUUAUUCAGGCCUGAUCAUGCAGUCACUACAUAUUUAAAAACUCCUUCCCUUUCAUUAAAGUGUUGUGUCUGCAGGAAUAUUGGUUUGAAAUUCUGAGCUGAAAGCAUUCAGUUAGUAUUUCAGACAGAAAUGAUAUUAAAAAAAAAUUGCUGGUGACUAUAGGAAAUACAGUUUUAACAUUCCUGUACUAAGAUGUCAUUCAGUAACAUUUCUUUAUUCUUUUCUUCUAACAUCUUUUUUCUUUCUUUUGUUUUUUAAUGGUCUUUUUGAUAGAAUGUGAAGAUGAGUGAUUAGCCCAUGAGCUGACUAGAACAAGCCUAGAAAGCAUUCAUGAACAAAGUUGUCAUGCUAGAUCUUGAGGAACUUCUAGAAUUAGAGUUUUGAAAAUUAAAAAUAUUGCUACUAAUCUUGUAUACAGAUCUUUUUCUUUUAAAUUAUUCUGAUGUUAGAAAUGGAUUUCAUAAGUGUACGUGCUAGUAGAAGUAUAGGCUUGACUCAUUGAUGGUAAUUACAAUGCAAAGCUUUUGCACUGUAAUGCAAAUCAUUUACCACGAUCUUUUGGCAGUAUGACUUGCUCUCUCCCUACAGUAAUAUCUCCUUUGAAAGUCCAGGUCAUCUUUAUACUUUUAAAAUAAAGUAAUCUAUCAAAGAAACAUCCUUUCUAACCCAAACUUUGUGUGCAUUUGUGAACUAAUUUGUCCUCAUUUCAGUUGGAGAGUGAUCAGUGUUAAGUCUCCUCAAAGUUAACUGUCCUCUCAUUGCAUAAAAACAGAGAAAAAAAAUCUUUGCCUAGAUUAGUUGCCAAUUUAUAUUUUCCAAAGCCAGUUGAUGUGCACUUGUGCGAGAACUUUGCAUCUUCCAGUGAUUUAUAUUGCUGGAAAAUAAAAAUUCUAUAUGUCCCAAUGAAAUACAUGAGACUAGCUUUUAGCUUUCAAAUUUUCCUAAGUACUGUAUGAAAUCAAGUGAGUUGAUUGCUAUGUGAACUAUAUGCUCUUCAGUUUUUUGAGGUGUACAGAAUUCGAUUCAUAGCACAAAGAAAACGUGUCUUAGAAGGAAAAGAGAAGUCAACAAACUAUUUGAAUUUCCCAGAAUACUUGAAACUUUUAAAAUUUCUGGCAUAAAUUCAACAGAUCCUACAACAAUCAUAAUGCAUGUCACAAAAUUACACAUAGUGUCUAUUCUGUAUUUUGUCUCUGCUGGAUGCUGGGGAGUGUGAUCAUGAUUAGUUAUUCUAGAGCACUCAUGAGUAGUCUGUUUCAUUCAAGAGAAAAUUCAACUCAUUUUUCAUUACCCAGUUGUGAACACUAUCUUCAUGGUAGUAGUUGUAAGAAAAGAAAUUGUCUUUUUAUUAGUUCCUUGUAGAAUGUUCCUGAGUAACACAUUUUGGAUAUAUAAGAAGGUAAUUUAUGAUGGCUUUUUGUUUCCAUCAACUUACAAAAAAUAUUGUCAGUGAAGCAACAAGGCAUGUGUCACUUCUUCAGUUUCUUUGCUCUUUGGUGUCUGUUAGUCAUCAAUGACAUAUGUAAUGGAAGGUAGUAUUGUUAAAAGCAUGUAUUUAAAAUUAAUAUUUAUCCAGAAAACUAAGGGCAUAGCUAAGACUAGCCCUGAUAACCUUCUGUAGUAUUGCUCAGCUGAAAACCAGAAGUGAUGAAACGCAGAUUCUUCUUCGUUAUCCACCUUUAUGACCAUAUUGGUUACACAUUUCUGUGCUUCAAUUGUUAAUUUCCUAAAUAACCUAAAAUAAUCUAAACUAUCUGACAAAGUCCUUAUACUUGGUAGAUACUUCUAGAUAUGCAGUCACUAAUCAUUUCUCAAUCCAAAAGCAACCAAAAAUAAAAUUAUUUUUCUUAACUGCAGCAUGGGUUCUACUAAUAAGCUUCAGAGGUACAGGAAAUCUGGAACUUCCACAGUGGCAACUAAUAGCCUGAUGUAAUAUUUAUCAACAUGCGUAUGUCCAGUAUUUCAAAUUUGCUAUGUGAACCUGAUUUUCAAAGUAAACAUACACAUUCUUUUCACCUGGGAAAAUUUUAAUUUGUUGCCAUGUAAACUUGAGGGGCCUAGUUUUGGGCAGGUCAUUAUCUGCUUGUAUAUGUAUACACAUUUCUAGAAAUUGGAAACCAAGUGCUCUGUUGAGGUCAAUUUAUUUUUUGGAGGAAAAAAAAAGCUCUUCAGCUAUGAUAAGACAAAUCUUGUAAAUGAAAUUCAGUUUCUUUUGAAUUAUGUGCAAGGAUGAACAUAGUGAAACAUUGCCUGAUAAUAUGGUAGAUAUGAUUACAAAACAUCUUAGUGAACAAAAUUUGUUUUCAUCAUCUUCCUCCUGGCAAUUCUUUUACACUUUGAAAAAAUGUUUGAUUCAGUGUGUUUUACUUGUUAGUGGCUACUACUCCACACAAAACAGAGGGCUGUAGCUGAUACACAAGAUGGUGUUCUUGACUGUUAGAUGCUAAUAAGAAAUUUUAAAUAUAAGUAGUUAAAAAGGCAGAUUUGCAAUUGCUGUCCGUAACUGCCACUCCUUUGAUGUUUUUGCAGACUAGUUUUCAUGUGUAACUUUUUCCAUUGAGUGGAAUUCGUGCAUAUGGUCAAUUAAGAGACUAAAUUGAGUGUUCCAUUCACAAGAGCAACCCACACUCAGUGAUCUCCUCUUUCACUUAAGCAGAUCCGUAGCAUAAAGAAGUGUAAUUGAUGGUGUACUUAACAUAUUUAAUCCAAAUUUUGUCAUUAAAAAAAAAAAAAGUAUAAACAGGUGUAGGAAAAUGGCAUGACAGCAUUAACUGUGCUUUCAGAGGUAACCAAAUGGCAUGUAUUUUAGAUGGUUGGAAAUGUAUCAGGACAAAACAGGAUAAGGAAGAACCACCUGGCUAGACUUGUAUCUUCCGCUGACUAUUUUUGUUUUUCCUUUCUGCAAUUUCUUCUUAUUUUCUUUUCAAAUACUGAACUGUUGAGUAGGUUGUUUACACCAAAUUACAGAAUAUUCAAUCAAUACAAAUCAUUCCACCUCUUAAAGUUACUUAAUCGUGUAAAAAUAACUUACGUGGUAUUUCCUUUCAAUAUUUCUGUUACUUCUACACAUACUCUGCAUAGUACUACAAGUAAGUUAAUUGCUUACACAAGGACACAAGUUUUACUCCAAUUUUAUGGUGUCUGUUCUUUAUGGAACCAAUAGGAAGUGUUCCUCUAUGACUGAGAAUAGAAAUGGCUUGAAGACUGGAUUUUGGCCUUUGGCAGAUGUCUGGCCAUGGGACAAAAAAUCCUCUAGAUGUGAACAUAUGUGAGAAAAAAGAAGAUAAUGCAGCCAUAUAUAAAAAGAAGCAUUUUUAUGUCAAUAAAAUGAAACAUUCAGGAAAAAGUAUAGAGCAACGUAGAAGGUAAUUGCAAUAAAUUAAAUGGGAGAAAAGUCAAGGGCACCCAAAGGCCAUAGUAUAAAGCAGCAGAAGAAAAAUAGGAUGCUGGUGGAAUUUAGGGCAGUUUUAUUUAUCACAUCAAAAUAAGCAUAAUAAAAUGUAUGAAUUUUGUCACUUACAAUAUUCUCUUUUCUUUUUGUUUACUAAGGAAACCCAAAAUUACAAAUGAAUGAGAUCUGGUUUAUGAAUGAGGUCUGGCUUCAGGCUGAGAUCAAGUGAAACCAUUGAUUCAAUAUUAAUUCACUUUGAACACAUAAAUAGGUAUAGGUUCAUCAUCUAGAAUCUGUAUGCUUACGAAACUUGGCAACCUGUCCAGCACUGUUGAAUUUUUCAUGAUAUCAAAUCUGAGCAAGUUUCCCUUGGCUGCAGUAUCAACUCUUGAGUGUUUCAUAUAGCGGCAUAAUAUUAGUUUGUUUCCCUAUAUGUAUAGAUAAAUGGAUAUUUCUAUGUAAGCAUAUGUGUACUUAUACAAGCUUCUCAAAUACAUUUCUUGCAUUGAUAUUGCAGAAUCUAUGAAGAGUGAUAUACAUAUUGUAGAAGUCUUUAUAUAUGAAUAGAAAAAUAAAUAAAAAAUGGUAACAGUUAUACAUGCACUAUUACCUCUCAAUGUAUCAAUUCAUAUUAUGGAAUUCUUCAAUAGAUUUGAAGAAAAACUGAAGUCUGGGGCUUUGGUUAAGUAAUUUUUUUCAACAUGUAAAAAUAAUGAAUAUAAUAUCCUGCUGAAUUGAAGUGUAACUUUAACUUAUCGCAAUAGGAUUCAUAGCUCUGUUUUACUCUCAUAGCUACUAAAAGCUUGAGCUUUCAGGUAAGUGUUUUCACUGUGAAACAGUAAGCACUGCAUGGGUUAAUUAGCUGUAGACUUCAUUUUCCUUGUAUAUUUCAUUUGGAAAGCAGAAAUUAAGUAUCGAGAAUUAAUUAGCUAUGUACAAACUAUGAAAAACUGUUGAGGCAAGUGCUGUCUUGCUAAUUCAUGACUAUAUUUAGAUAUUGUAAUGAUUAGAUUUUAAAAGAAACAAGCUAAUUAGAACAUUUUUUCCAAAGUCACACAGAGGUCAGGAAUGACAGCGACCUUCUGUAAAAUGGAGAAUAAAUAUCUGCUAUUCUGUAGAUUGUAUGGAACUGGUACAGUAAGGCUAAAGCCUUUUCCUGUUCAAUGAAUUGGAAUUAAACAUGCUAAUUUGAGAUCUCCUUCAAGUAUUUUAUUUAACUACUUUGGCCUUUAAUUCAUUUAUAGUGCAACAUUUAAUGUAAUGUUAUUUAUAUAUACGAAGCACGUUAUACUUAUUAACCAAUGUGCAAAAAUCUAAAGUACAGAUUUUAUGUAAUGGGCUAAUUACGGGACUUUAAAGCCACCUACUGAGUUUUGCUAAGCUUAACAACAGGUUCACUGAACUGGAUAAAUUUAUUCAAACUUGUGGAAAUGAACCCCAUUCUAUGUGCAACCGUACUGGGAAAACACACAAAUUAUACCUCAAUACCAGUUUAAUGGGUCAAACAGUGAACCUGAAUACCAAACUUAUCUACAUCUUGCAACAGCAGAGAAGCUAUAGGCCCUGGGUGAGAAGAGGAAGUGCCCAUUCAUAGUUUCUUCCUCAAGUUUGUAAAUAAUUCAGAUUUGGUAUAUUGGACAAGCCAGAUUUUCAACGUACAUAGGGAUGGGUUAGUUUGUAUGAUAUUGACCUUUGAAGAACAUAGUCUUAAAAUAUGUUAUAUGUGUCAUAAGCAAGUGAAGAAAAAGAAGUAAACUAUAUGAUCUUUUACUAUAUCUUCCUAUUACAACUACUAAGUUUAGGCUCUAUAAUUUGUUUAUUUAUUAUGACAUGCUGCUUUUAAAGGCUAACUUACUUCAAUCAGACAUUCAAUGUCUAUCCGUAAGGUCUGAAUGCCAUCUAAUUUAUGUCCUUCUAAAUUGGUUCAAAUAUAAUCAAAGUUAAGUGGGGUCUUUGUUAAAAUGGAAUAAAAUCAGAUUCAUACCAAAAUAUCUCUUACUACUGUACUUUGAAGGUAGUGUUAAACUUUUGGCUUUCCUAUCUGAAGAGUGUACAAGAGGCUUACAUUUCCUACAUACUGUUAAGUUUCAGAAAGGUUCACAAGGCUUCUACUUUCCUUGGCUAUCCAAAGCCACUUCAUUGUUUCCUGUCAAGUUAACCUAGUUUUUAUGUCAGUAGAAUUCAGCAAAAUAUCUCUAUUAGUAACCCUUUCUUUUCAACUUUUAACAUUCAGGUAAAAGCAAGACAGAGAGGCUGGCUUUCUUGUACUAGCCACAGCAUGUCCUUCAAAAAUGAAGUGUUUAGCUAUUUUUAAACACUACUGUAGUCUAAGGUUAAUAUGUGAUUUAAAAAAAAAAUUAUUUGCAUUGUUCUUCAGAAUUAUUGUGCAGAUUAUCUAAUAAAAAUCUUUUCUCAAAAAAUUGAGUAUUCUGCUUUUGAGAUUUUAUGUAUCUAUACGCUGCUUUGGAUAACUACGCAUAAUCUAUUCAGUAGCUGACAUUUGGGUCUUGAUAGAUACAUUCAAGCAUGUACUUUCAGGAAUAAUAAUGCCAGUGCACUGUGUUCUACAAUGUGUGCAAUGAAAAUGUGCCUCAUAAAGCCCAUAAUUGUUGCUUAAGUUACAAAGAUGAUUUUUUUUUCCAGUAAAUGAGGAACAAGCCACAUAAUCUUGCUAACACUAUAUGCCCAGGAAAGAAGAGUUUAAAUAAGAAAUGCAUAAAUUUAGCAGACUGCUGUAACAAAUGAAAUGGUGUAGCAUUGAAAACAUUUGAGGCAAUUAAUCAAUGCUGUGUUUGCACAUAUCAUUAAAUAUAUUAUACUAAGUUUAGAUUUGAUUUCUAUGCUUCUUUUAUAAAGAGUUAAAAGAAAAUACAUUUGAAUUCAUGCUGAUACUGAAAACAUGCUCCUAGCUCCUAGUUUCUUGGAUUUCAAAUCAUUUCCAUUAACAAACAGCUAUUUGCCCUCUAAUAAAAUAUGUCAUUAUGCUUUAUUCACAUCACACAAAAGAAUCACUGAAAAAUCGCCCCAAUGAUGGCCAAUAAUUACACAUUUUGCUCCUGCACGAGCAAUGAAGAAAUCUGUUCAUUGGAGAAAGCAGGUGCUGGGGCAUCAUGCUAAUAGUCAAUGUGUGCCACAGUAAUUAGCCAUUGCAAUUGCUAAAAUUAACAAUUAGCUAACAUGCAAUUCUCUUUUUGCAGGCUGCAGUUUACUUUGUAUAAUCCUUGUACGUUCUUAGUAAUUAUUCUGACAGCUUAUUAUUUUUAUUUUUUCUGGUUUGAACACAGCUUUAACAUUUGAAUCAGUCUACCCAAAUGUUCAACAGGCAGUAUGAAACAACUGCUUCACUAGCAAUUUCUAAGGAACAAAUUUGUUUUUAUUCUCAACUUUGCAUUGUUCAAGAAAUAUAUGACUCUUUUAUAGGGUAAGAACUCCUCAUCUCGUUUGAGGGCUGAGGACCGCAGAUAAGAUAUUAAGACUUUUUGACAAUGGUAGGAUAUAGAACCAUCCCAACUUUUAGGAUAUACUCUUAGGAACUGUUCUUUGCAGUUUAGUUUCUGGUUCAUCGUCGCUAGUUGUCCCUGGUGCUCCUAUUGGUGGUCUGUGGAAACUUGGAAGGUCACUUUCUACUGUCAGAUAACGUCGAAUCAGGGAAUACACCAACCUCCCACUGUUCUUCAUCUGAACAAGUGCUGGUGUUAUCCCUUGUAUUGCUUCAUUUGCAAAGGCCUUCAUAAUCCUUCUAGGAAUUUUGCAGAAUUGUGAUUGGCGUUUGGCCCAUACUGUGGGCAUAAAAAGAUAACAGGACAGAGUAAGGAACAUCUUCAUGAGCCUGCCUCAUAAACUAAUGGUAUGACCACAUCUUAAAUACUGUAUGUUGGUUUGAUAAUCCACCUCGCAGGAGAAUAACAGUGGACAGAGAAAACAAAUUCAACAAGGAUGAGCAAUGGUGUGGAGAGGCAUUUGUACUGGGAAAGACUAUCCAGGCUGAUAAAUAUGGAAAAGAUGACUGGCUGGGCUAUAAUGGGGACUUAUACUGGUGGUGUGAAGAAAUUAAGUGAAGAAAACUAUUUGCAUUUUCUUAAAGAACUGUGAGGCACUCAAUAAAACCAACCAGUUUAAAAAGAUCAAAAGCAAUCACUUUUUCUCAUGGUGCAUAAUUAGGCAGUGGAACUCAUUGUCACAGGAUGGCUAAGUGGGAUGAAAGAAGAACUGGCUGGGUUCGCAGUAAGUCCCCAGCAGCACCCAAGAUUUACUCACGCGUUAUCAGGCUCAAAGUGUAUCUGAAAAUGCAACUGUAUGACAGAGAAAUGUCAUGCACUGCUUUUCCUUCACCAUCUUACUCUAUUCUAAGCCAUUGCUCCAAAGCGAGAUGAAAGAUUUGUUUGAUUUGAUAUAGUCAUCUUUUAUAAUUUUGUAUAGCAAUACAUGGUACAAAAAAAAAAGUUAAUAAUGAGCUACUCGAAAGAUGCAGAAGAGUUGCAUUUUUUCCUACAUAUUCAGGUCAGAAUUCAGCUGACAUAAAAAUCUGUGCAAUUCAGCUCAAAUCAAUGUAGACUGAAACAUAUGCAUAGUCAGAUUAUAUCCUGCCUAUUUUGCUUAGCUUUUAUAUUAAUACAUAGGUAGAUAUAAAUGGACUUGAAAACACUGAUAACUUUCAAACCAGAAGGGCCAUAGCAACUCCAGUGGAAUUCUUCCCAAUUUUAUAGGUGUAAGUGAGAGGAUAAUAAGACUUGGGGAAUUUAUGUAAUCUCCUGUAAUCAGCAUGGUUUCUGUAGCUGGCACCAAACCAAAACCAAUUUUUUAAACAGUUCUUUAAAGCUCCUCCAUGUUUUAAAAAAUAUUUUAAAAUGUGAUUUGCUCGUGUGCAUACAGACUAGCAAAGCUGUGUUACAGAAAAACAAACUGUCCCAGCAAUUGUUGUUUUUGACCUUGUUUUUCCACCUAAAAUCUCAACAGAGAUGCGGUCAGAAAGAAGCAACAAAAGCAUUCUCAAGGAUCCAAGCCUUUACCUGAGUCCAAGCCUUUAGCUGAGGCAAUAGUUACAGAAGGAUCAGACACAAAAUAAGGAUCUCAGGCAUGUUUUGACUGUGCCCAACCUGCUAGGCUCAGUAGCUCUGUGCAUUUCAGGCAAUAAUACUAUCAGAGAACAAGUAGUAAAAAUCAGAAUGGAAAAUACAUUCAAUUUUUUAAGGAUGUAUCUAAUAUUUUAGGCAUUAGAACAGGCUGCCCAGGGAGAUGACAGAGUCACCAUCCCUGGAGGUGCUCAGGAACCAUGGAGAUGUGGCACAGAGGGACAUGGACUACUGGGCAUGGUGAUGAUGUGUUGGUGGUUGACCUUGGUGGUCUAUUCCAACCUUAAUUAUUCUAUGAAUCUGUGAUUAAAUAUUCCUGAUGACCAUAGCCCCUGGGGACUUCAAUGAAAAUAUUUUCAUAUACAGUAAUUGAGAAUUUAGGUUUAUAGACACAGAAGGAAUUAGCCACUCACGGGUCAUUAAAGUAUCUACAUCAAAGGAGUAAAUCCACAAAAUUUGUAUCUUAAUUCAAUGUCAAUAGAGACUUAAAUUUUACCUGAGAAAACUCUCUGAAUGUCUAUGUUGCUGUUUAUAUCAUGCUAAGAAGAAUCUUACUCUUCGCACCGAUAAGCAGUUCUGGUAAACCAAGCUUCAUAAUGUCCCACGAGUUAGACAUCCUGUGUCUAUAUUCCAUGAAGCAGAAACCAGCAUGCAUUAGAAGGCGUGAUUUAACUUUGUUGGUGUAAAGUUCACAAACAUACAUUUCAGAUUAGACUAUGAAAGAACAUGGAUUUACAUUAAUAUAGUGAAGAAAAUGUCAUUUAUCUGACUUUCCUUCUCUCUGUCCCAGCAAGUUUUCAGUUUCCUUCAUAAAAGGUGGAAUACCUUCCACAGAGGAAUUGGCAUUACUUCUUCUGUAGGGUCUAUUGCCUUCUCUGAGUGCUUGAAAACCCCAUAUAAGGGGGAAAGAUGGGCACAUGAGGCUACAUUCAUAUCAUCCUAGUGGAGGCGUGACCUUUGGCAACUAGGUUUUUCACUGAGCAGAAAAAGGCCAGAACCCUGGCGAACACCAUAGCACAUAUGGCUUUAUAUAUGUAAACAUAAAGCUUGACUAUUUGAACCCAAGAAAGGAAGAUUUAAAAGGAAAUUCAGAAAACAGGACUUCUUCUGGAAAUCCCCCAGCUAAGCAGGGAAAAAAAAAAAAAAAAAAAGGUUUCUCUGGAACA